CCUACGGGAGGCAGCAGUGAGGAAUAUUGGUCAAUGGACGAGAGUCUGAACCAGCCAAGUAGCGUGAAGGAUGACUGCCCUAUGGGUUGUAAACUUCUUUUAUAUGGGAAUAAAAUGUUCCACGUGUGGGAUUUUGUAUGUACCAUAUGAAUAAGGAUCGGCUAACUCCGGUCCAUCCGCCGCGGUAAUACGGAGGAUCCGAGCGUUAUCCGGAUUUAUUGGGUUUAAAGGGAGCGUAGGUGGAUUGUUAAGUCAGUUGUGAAAGUUUGCGGCUCAACCGUAGAAUUGCAGUUGAAACUGGCAGUCUUGAGUACAGUAGAGGUGAGCGGAAUUCGUGGUGUAGCGGUGAAAUGCUUAGAUAUCACGAAGAACUCCGAUUGCGAAGGCAGUUCACUGGACUGCAACUGACGCUGAGGCUCGAAAGUGUGGGUAUCAAACAGGAUUAGAUACCCUUGUAGUC
Molecule: ribosomal RNA, 460 nt
Filed under: uncultured bacterium
Lineage: Bacteria
Description: partial 16S ribosomal RNA
Rfam family: Bacterial small subunit ribosomal RNA
Source: RNAcentral